GGCCCUACGGGGGGCAGCAGUGGGGAAUAUUGGACAAUGGGGGAAACCCUGAUCCAGCGACGCCGCGUGAGUGAAGAAGUAUUUCGGUAUGUAAAGCUCUAUCAGCAGGGAAGAAAAUGACGGUACCUGACUAAGAAGCCCCGGCUAACUACGUGCCAGCAGCCGCGGUAAUACGUAGGGGGCAAGCGUUAUCCGGAUUUACUGGGUGUAAAGGGAGCGUAGACGGCAUUGCAAGUCUGAAGUGAAAGCCCGUGGCUCAACCGCGGAACUGCUUUGGAAACUGUAUAGCUUGAGUACUGGAGAGG
RNAcentral lists this ribosomal RNA (305 nucleotides) under uncultured bacterium. Its description in RNAcentral is "bacterial SSU rRNA". It matches the Rfam family "Bacterial small subunit ribosomal RNA", at positions 335 to 657 of the family's 1533-position model. The record is from RNAcentral.